Lycium barbarum (goji berry) is the source of this 220-nucleotide long non-coding RNA. RefSeq lists it as uncharacterized. The record is from RefSeq and is a predicted model, not a curated record. NCBI's taxonomy places the organism in Eukaryota, Viridiplantae, Streptophyta, Magnoliopsida, Solanales, Solanaceae. The transcript has 3 exons.
UCCGUUUCGAUGCGUUGUUGAAUCCGGGCUUUCUUCAAAGUGCAAUAAUGUGGAAGAAGAGUAUUUCUUGGCAUAUAAGAUCUUGGGAAGCCCGAGACUUAGGUUUGGAUUAGCUUAAGAAGCGGACAAGGUAUAGAUAGUCGGUUUGGUGACCCUUCAGCAUAGGACUUCUACUCAGCUGUUUUGGAGAGCUCCGUUGUUCCGGAGUCUAGACUUUUGG